UUACUCUGUAUGCUCAAAUGUGACCCGUUAUAGCCAACAGAAAAAAAGCGGAGGCCCGAAAAACAGGUGGGGGUCCUCCACCACCACCACUCACAGAGGCUGAGCAGUUGGCCCUCAGCCAAAACAGUGGGCGCCCUGUGGCCGAAGGCAUCUCUGCGGGGACAUCCUCUGAGUCAAUAACCCUGCAAGACACAAGUGCCUACAUAGGGGGAAAAUAAUGAAGAAACAUUGACAGCUGUUACAGAGGAGGAAGCAACAGAGACACUUUAUGAGGUUUACAUCUUUUAAUACUUUGUGUACAGGAAACACAGGCGACCAAUAAAGCCAGUUGAACA
Molecule: long non-coding RNA, 335 nt
Organism: Haplochromis burtoni (Burton's mouthbrooder)
Lineage: Eukaryota; Metazoa; Chordata; Actinopteri; Cichliformes; Cichlidae
Exons: 2
Source: RefSeq, a predicted model, not a curated record